RNAcentral lists this ribosomal RNA (718 nucleotides) under uncultured Actinomyces sp. RNAcentral describes it as "bacterial SSU rRNA". It matches the Rfam family "Bacterial small subunit ribosomal RNA", at positions 28 to 776 of the family's 1533-position model. Lineage: Bacteria; Bacillati; Actinomycetota; Actinomycetes; Actinomycetales; Actinomycetaceae. The record is from RNAcentral.
GAUGAACGCUGACAGAAUGCUUAACACAUGCAAGUCAACUUGAACUUCGGUUUGGGUGGCGGACGGGUGAGUAACGCGUAAAGAACUUGCCUCACAGCUAGGGACAACAUUUGGAAACGAAUGCUAAUACCUGAUAUUAUGAUUUUAGGGCAUCCUAGGAUUAUGAAAGCUAUAUGCGCUGUGAGAGAGCUUUGCGUCCCAUUAGCUAGUUGGUGAGAUAACUGCCCACCAAGGCGACGAUCAGUAGCCGACCUGAGAGGGUGAUCGGCCACAUUGGAACUGAGACACGGUCCAAACUCCUACGGGAGGCAGCAGUGGGGAAUAUUGCACAAUGGGCGAAAGCCUGAUGCAGCAACGCCGCGUGAACGAUGAAGGUCUUCGGAUCGUAAAGUUCUGUUGCAGGGGAAGAUAAUGACGGUACCCUGUGAGGAAGCCCCGGCUAACUACGUGCCAGCAGCCGCGGUAAUACGUAGGGGGCUAGCGUUAUCCGGAUUUACUGGGCGUAAAGGGUGCGUAGGUGGUCCUUCAAGUCGGUGGUUAAAGGCUACGGCUCAACCGUAGUAAGCCGCCGAAACUGGAGAACUUGAGUGCAGGAGAGGAAAGUGGAAUUCCCAGUGUAGCGGUGAAAUGCGUAGAUAUUGGGAGGAACACCAGUAGCGAAGGCGGCUUUCUGGACUGCAACUGACACUGAGGCACGAAAGCGUGGGUAGCAAACAGG